GAUGAACGCUGGCGGCGUGCCUAAUACAUGCAAGUCGAGCGAACGGACGAGGAGCUUGCUUCUCUGAUGUUAGCGGCGGGCGGGUGAGUAACACGUGGAUAACCUACCUAUAAGACUGGGAUAACUUCGGGAAACCGGAGCUAAUACCGGAUGAUAUUUUGAACCGCAUGGUUCAAAAGUGAAAGACGGUCUUGCUGUCACUUAUAGAUGGAUCCGCGCUGCAUUAGCUAGUUGGUAAGGUAACGGCUUACCAAGGCAACGAUGCAUAGCCGACCUGAGAGGGUGAUCGGCCACACUGGAACUGAGACACGGUCCAGACUCCUACGGGAGGCAGCAGUAGGGAAUCUUCCGCAAUGGGCGAAAGCCUGACGGAGCAACGCCGCGUGAGUGAUGAAGGUCUUCGGAUCGUAAAACUCUGUUAUUAGGGAAGAACAUAUGUGUAAGUAACUGUGCACAUCUUGACGGUACCUAAUCAGAAAGCCACGGCUAACUACGUG
Molecule: ribosomal RNA, 497 nt
Filed under: uncultured bacterium
Lineage: Bacteria
Description: partial 16S ribosomal RNA
Rfam family: Bacterial small subunit ribosomal RNA
Source: RNAcentral